This is a non-coding RNA of Xyrichtys novacula (pearly razorfish), 2221 nucleotides long. NCBI's taxonomy places the organism in Eukaryota, Metazoa, Chordata, Actinopteri, Labriformes, Labridae. The record is from the annotation of a GenBank genome assembly.
UGGGGUAAAAUCAUUUUCUCUGAUGAAUUCCCUUCCUAAUUGUUCGGGGCAUCUGGAAAAAAGAGAAGAAAAGGCCCUGUGGCCCCACCAUCAGCCCUGUGUCAUGCCAACAGUAAUGCAUCUUGAGACUGUUCAUGCAUGGGGUUGUUUCUCAGUCAAGAACACAGCCAUGAAUGAAGAAUGGUACCAAAACAUCCAACUUCUCCCAACCAUCUGAGAUCAGUGUGGUGACGAACAAUGCCUUCUCCAGCAUGAUGGAGGCAAAAGUGCUUACUAAGUGGCUUGAGGGAAAAAAAACCUACAAAUUUUGGGUCUAUGGCCAGGAACCUCCCCAGACCUUAAUCCCAUAGAGCAGUGUUUCUCAAGUCCAGUCCUCGAGGCCCACUGUCCUGCAUGUUUUGGAUGUUUCCCUGCUCCAACACACCUGAUUCAAAUGAUCAGCUCGUUAUCAAGCUCUGUAAUGGCUCAAUAACGAGCUGAUCAUUUGAAUCAGGUGUGUUGGAGCAGGGAAACAUCCAAAACACGCAGGACAGUGGGCCUCAAGGACUCGACUUGAGAACCACUGCCAUAGAUAACUUGUGGUCAAUCCUCAAGACAUGGAUGGACAAACAAAAACUUACAAAUUGACACUUAUGAAAUGCUUGUAAUUAUACUUCAGUAUAACACAGAAACAUCUGACAAAAAGGUCUAAAAACACUGAAGCAGCGGACUUUGUGAAAAUUAAUAUUUGUGUCAGUCUCACUUUUGGCCAGGGCUGUACAUCUAUUUCUAUGACGUCCAAACAUCUACAUUCUGAACUCCUCAAUUAAAACCAGAAGACUUCAGUUUCAGUCUGUAUUCUGGUGUGUCUCAGCUCUCAGGUUUUAUGGUCAGCAUGAAGUGGAAGAGUAAAAACUAAAGGUGAAAGGUCAGGAAACAUAAGCUAGUCCUUCGAGAACAUCUUAUCUGCUGUAUAGUAAUCUAGUGUGUGUUGUUGUGUGUGUGUGUGUGUGUGUGUUCCCAGUUACUGCAUCACACUGAGCAGAUCGGAGAGUUCUCAGCUCCUCGCCUGUCCUGGCAGGCGUCUGACAGUUACUGCUGGCUGCCCUCCCAACCUGCCCUUCCAGCAGGACUCCAGCUGGCCCGCUGCUGCCGCCGUCACCUCCGCCUCUCUGCCACCGCCGGCAUCAUCACCAGGGAGGCCGGCUGAGUGAAGACGGGUGUAAGGGGGGAGAGAGGGAGAAGACGGGAGCUGCCAGCUCGCACCAUCCUCGUCCGCUCACUGAGAUGUUAAAUCAGUUGUCGGCUCCUCCGUCUCUCGUCGCUGGCUCGCCCAUUUGUAUGCAGACGGUGAGUGUAAUUCAUUGCAAACCACCUCUUUUACUCAUUCUGUCAUCCAGGGGCGCACUCCCGUCACAUCUGCAGCCCCACACUGGUUUGAGAACCACUUAUGAUAACAACAGAACAAUCAAGGAACGCUUGUAGGAGAGAAACACACGCGAGUGUCAAUGCGGUCAGCUUCCUAUAGCGAGAGCGAUGCUGCCUCCGCUCUUUAAUGAAGCGCAGUCUGAGCGGGCUUUAAUCAACCUGAGCGUAGGAGGAGGGGUACCGAUGUGAUUAUCUAUUUAUUAAGCAGACCUCCUUGUGUUCUUUGGCACCUGCAUGUCCCAUUAGAAGUGUUGGGUCAGCAGUGCUGAGGGCAGCACAUUGAACCUGCGUCACAACAUAAUUAGGCCCCCACUCCACAUAACAGUUCUGCUUGGCUCUGCUCUCAGGAGACACACUAUCAUGUCGACACACACAAACCCCGGACAGCCGACCCCAUCAGACGCACACUGAAGAGUGAAGCGCAGUCUUACACAUCCCCAAACAAGCGUGUUUUUCUGUCCAGGAAUGAAGACUUACACCUUCAUUUUACAACAAUAAAUACAGCAAUUAACCCCGAAACAUAAAGAUUCAGUGCUUUACAAUAAAAAAAGCAGCUCACACAUAAAACAGAGUGGGAAUAAAAACCAUUCAAAUAUCUCAUGGAAAGAAAAAAACUAUUGAGUUUAUUAAACAGGACUGACAAGAUACUUGACUGCUUUAUUUCCUGUGUAUUAUGGAGCUGAAUGGAACAGUUAAAAGAGCAUAAAAAAGUAUGGACAUUUAAUUGAGUAGUAACUCAAAGAGGCACAACGUUACAUUUGGAUUAAAAAAAAAAUCAUGAAAUCUCAAUCAGCCCAAUCAGCCUCUUCACAGA